This 301-nucleotide ribosomal RNA is filed under the name uncultured bacterium. RNAcentral's name for it is "partial 16S ribosomal RNA". It matches the Rfam family "Bacterial small subunit ribosomal RNA", at positions 509 to 807 of the family's 1533-position model. The record is from RNAcentral.
CAGUCGCCGCGGUAAUACGAAGGGUGCAAGCGUUAAUCGGAAUUGCUGGGCGUAAAGCGUGCGCAGGCGGUUAUAUAAGACAGAUGUGAAAUCCCCGGGCUCAACCUGGGACCUGCAUUUGUGACUGUAUAGCUAGAGUACGGUAGAGGGGGAUGGAAUUCCGCGUGUAGCAGUGAAAUGCGUAGAUAUGCGGAGGAACACCGAUGGCGAAGGCAAUCCCCUGGACCUGUACUGACGCUCAUGCACGAAAGCGUGGGGAGCAAACAGGAUUAGAUACCCCUGUAGUCCCUGUCUCUUAUAC